RNAcentral lists this ribosomal RNA (432 nucleotides) under uncultured bacterium. RNAcentral's name for it is "partial 16S ribosomal RNA". It matches the Rfam family "Bacterial small subunit ribosomal RNA", at positions 29 to 507 of the family's 1533-position model. The record is from RNAcentral.
ACGAACGCUGGCGGCAGGCCUAACACAUGCAAGUCGAGCGAGACCUUCGGGUCUAGCGGCGGACGGGUGAGUAACGCGUGGGAACGUGCCCUUUUCUACGGAAUAGCCUCGGGAAACUGAGCGUAAUACCGUAUACGCCCUUUGGGGGAAAGAUUUAUCGGAGAAGGAUCGGCCCGCGUUGGAUUAGGUAGUUGGUGGGGUAAUGGCCUACCAAGCCUACGAUCCAUAGCUGGUUUGAGAGGAUGAUCAGCCACACUGGGACUGAGACACGGCCCAGACUCCUACGGGAGGCAGCAGUGGGGAAUCUUAGACAAUGGGGGCAACCCUGAUCUAGCCAUGCCGCGUGAGUGAUGAAGGCCUUAGGGUUGUAAAGCUCUUUCAGCUGGGAAGAUAAUGACGGUACCAGCAGAAGAAGCCCCGGCUAACUCCGUG